AUGCAAGUCGACGGCAGCACGGGGGCAACCCUGGUGGCGAGUGGCGAACGGGUGAGUAACAUAUCGGAACAUAUCCGGAAGUGGGGGAUAACGUACCGAAAGGUACGCUAAUACCGCAUAUGCCCUGAGGGGGAAAGGAGGGGAUCGCAAGACCUUUCGCUUUCGGAGUGGCCGAUAUCGGAUUAGCUAGUUGGUGAGGUAAAGGCUCACCAAGGCGACGAUCCGUAGCUGGUCUGAGAGGACGACCAGCCACACUGGAACUGAGACACGGUCCAGACUCCUACGGGAGGCAGCAGUGGGGAAUUUUGGACAAUGGGGGCAACCCUGAUCCAGCCAUGCCGCGUGAGUGAAGAAGGCCUUCGGGUUGUAAAGCUCUUUCAGACGGAAAGAAACGGUCACGGCCAACACCCGUGACUAAUGACGGUACCGUCAGAAGAAGCACCGGCUAACUACGUGCCAGCAGCCGCGGUAAUACGUAGGGUGCGAGCGUUAAUCGGAAUUACUGGGCGUAAAGCGUGCGCAGGCGGUUUUGUAAGACAGACGUGAAAUCCCCGGGCUUAACCUGGGAACUGCGUUUGUGACUGCAAGACUAGAGUGUAGCAGAGGGGGGUAGAAUUCCACGUGUAGCAGUGAAAUGCGUAGAUAUGUGGAGGAAUACCGAUGGCGAAGGCAGCCCCCUGGGCUAACACUGACGCUCAUGCACGAAAGCGUGGGGAGCAAACAGGAUUAGAUACCCUGGUAGUCCACGCCCUAAACGAUGUCAACUAGGUGUUGGGGAAGGAGACUUCUUUAGUACCGCAGCUAACGCGAUAAGUUUGACCGCCUGGGGAGUACGGUCGCAAGAAUAAAACUCAAAGGAAUUGACGGGGACCCGCACAAGCGGUGGAUUAUGUGGAUUAUUCGAUGCAACGCGAAAAACCUUACCUACCCUUGACAUGUCAGGAAGAUACCAGAGUAUGGUAUUGUGC
This 968-nucleotide ribosomal RNA is filed under the name uncultured bacterium. Its description in RNAcentral is "bacterial SSU rRNA". It matches the Rfam family "Bacterial small subunit ribosomal RNA", at positions 55 to 1017 of the family's 1533-position model. The record is from RNAcentral.